RNAcentral lists this ribosomal RNA (398 nucleotides) under uncultured bacterium. RNAcentral describes it as "bacterial SSU rRNA". It matches the Rfam family "Bacterial small subunit ribosomal RNA", at positions 28 to 420 of the family's 1533-position model. The record is from RNAcentral.
GACGAACGCUGGCGGCGUGCUUAACACAUGCAAGUGGUGCGACGAACCAGGGCUUGCCCUGGGGCAAAGCCGCGAACGGGUGAGUAACACGUGAGUAACCUGCCCCGAUGACCGGGACAACCCGAGGAAACUCGGGCUAAUACCGGAUGUGGCGCACAGGCAUCGGCUUGUUCGCUAAAGGAAGCUUCGGCCUCCGCAUUGGGGAGGGCUCGCGGCCCAUUAGCUUGUUGGUGGGGUAACGGCCACCAAGGCAACGAUGGGUAGCUGGUCUGAGAGGACGAUCAGCCACACUGGGACUGAGACACGGCCCAGACUCCUACGGGAGGCAGCAGUGGGGAAUCUUGCGCAAUGCGCGAAAGCGUGACGCAGCAACGCCGCGUGGGGGAAGACGGCCUCGG